UUUUUGGAUGAUUCAAUACAUUGAUGCCUAUACCAGUUUGCUCUCUGGAAAUCAUCUAUGUUUGUUUUUCUCCCGGAAAAAUGAGCAGAUUUAUAUUCUGUGUUGAAGCCAAAAAUAGGAGUUGGUGUUAUAAACAAUUGAAUUUCAUCUGUCAUACUUGAAAACUACAAGAUUUAAAUGCUACGUAUCUGAAGAUUGGAAUUUUGAAGAUCUAAAAUGCUACGUAUCUGAUUUAAUGCCUCCGCACACAAGAGUGCAUUUUAAUAGCGAUUUAUGAUGGUCUGCCCAUCAAAAUUUUGCAUCCAUUGCACAUACUUUGUGGAGUUGAGCUCUUAUGUGGUCACAAAUCAAAGUUACAUAGUUGAUUUAUGUGGUGGCCCAAAAGAUCUAUCACUUGUUUUAAAAAUAAAUUUUGUGUUAUGAGGUUUUAAAAAUUAAAUUUUAUCUCACUUCAAUUUGCGUGCAUAGUUCGGGUGAGUAUUUGAAAAGCCAUUAUGUGAAAAUUUGUUUAAGAAUAAUGAAUUUUGCCUUUAAAAUAAAUUUAAAUUGACUUCGGCCAAUAUUUUAGGUAAACGUACCAAUCGAAUCCGGUAUAUUUUCCACGUUCAUAGGAGUGUGUUUAUGUUUCUGUUUUACGAAUAUGAUAUUUUUUGGGGCAUUUCUAAUAAUAUCUAUACUUGUUCCUAUUUUGGCAUUUUUAAUUUCUGGAGUGUUAGCCGCAAUUAGCAAAGUGCCGGAGAAACUUUCUACUUAUGAGUCAGGUAUAGAACCAAUGGAGACCUGUGAUUUGACAGUCCUAGAGGGUCCGUAGGAAAUAUGGGACUUGGGCAUAUGCUUGGAAACGAAUUCCGAGGUCACAAGCCCAAGAAAUGAAUUUUAAAGAAAAUUAUUUUCUGGAAUAAUUAUGAAGUUGAAGGAAAUAAAAUGUGUUUGAAAUUUGAUGGUAGGCCCAUAUUCUAGUUUCAGAGCCCUGUACAUGUCUUAUAUAUGAUUUAAGUUGAGUCCGUAAAAUUUGGUUAGACUAGGCACUUAACAUCACAUGGGGUCGGUUGUGCAGAUACUGCACUCUGCAUUAUGUGCAGAUCCAGGAACAACAGCUUUUGGACCUUAGCUUGGGAGACUGCCUUCAGUCUAGUCGGAGAUUGUGAGGUAGUCCUGCAGGCGUCCGCAUAUCCCUGGUAUCUCCCUCUAUCCCUUCAUAGGAGGAUCAUUUACAUAUUUCAGAAACAGUGUAUUAUUCAUUUUUCAGACCUUGUUUGUAGUAAUUUUAGACUGUCCAUAAAGCGUGACACCAGUUCUGGGUACAUUUUGUUUAAGAUGUUGGGUCGAAUAUACGUUUAAACAAUUUUAUUGUUUCUUCCGCUUGUUUCAAUUUCCGUUGUUAUUAAACUAUUGAUUCACAUUUGUUAAAGAAUUAAAAAGACAAAAAGAUAAUUUGUUCAAAUAGUUGGUUUGCUUAAUUUUCAUUAGUAGGUGUCAUCACGACUCCGAAGGGUAAGACAUCCGGAUUGUGACAAUUUCAACUUGACUUAAAACUUCAUGCUUCAAAAGUAAGACAACCAAAAUAUAUCUAAUGAAUGAUGCAUCUGGAUAAGUGGUACAGUAUAAGAUUAAAACUUAUCGACAGUUAAAUAGCGUAGAUUAAAAUAUUAUUGCUAUAGUAGUAACAUGGAUGUGGUUUGAUUUUAUAACUAAAGAAUUCACUGUUGAAUUAAACACAGUAAGAAGCGCAAUUUAAAGGAUCUCUAUUUAAUAAUUUGAAUGUGAAUAACUCAGACAAUACCUGUUGAGAUUUCAAACUUGUGUUCUUCAAUCAUCUACAAUUUGUUUGCACAAACGUGAUGCUCAUUUGUAAAUAAGGGACACUUUCUAAUCCAUUUAACAAAAAUUAUUACGUUUAGUUAAUUUACCCGUGAGUUGAUCCCUAAGGGUUGCUGCCUGAUGUGUACAGGAAAGUAACAAAGUGCUUCGACUACAGAAUGAUAUUAGAUAAUGAUCUAAGAUUUUAAGUUUAUAGAUUUUUGUCGCAAUUUUAAAUUAAUAUAUAUAUUUUAAUAAUUGGAUUCACAAAUAAAUAUUUAAUAAAUUUUUCAACAAAAAUAAAAGAUUUAUAUAAAAGUUACUAAUUCUCGAAGAUCCACAUAAUACAUGCUAGAUCCGCUCAUGAUUGAAACAAGUUAGAUGAAUAUGGACCCGUUAAAGUUUUAAAUGGGUAAAACCAAAUUCCCCGCUAAUGUUAUAAAAUCAAAUUCUCCCUCUAACCUUUCAAGUAACCCCUCCGAAUGACUUUUGACUACUAUAUCUUUAUUUACUUCUUCCAGAACCUGCUUAGAAAGCCCUCUUGGAAUGAAAUUAAUUUGAUAAUUAUAUAAUUUAGUAUAUUUAUUUGUUAAAUAAUUGCUUGAUUAGAAUAGAAUUGAAUAUAAUUAAAAGGAUGGAGGUAAUAAUUAAUGAUAAUUAUACUAUAUAAUUAUAAAGUUAUUUCUUAGUUUCUUUCCUUUUGUUUUAUUUUAAUUUAUUUUCUUUAUAACUUUUUAUUUCUAUUAUUUUAAUUUUUAAUUUUAUUUUAAUCUCUUUUAAAUAUAUUUUCUUUUACAUUAUUUAUCUUUUAUUUGUCUAUCUUUAUUUCUUGUAAUUCCAUGUAAUUGCUUAUAUUUUAUUUUUUACUGUUAUAUUCUAUUUUUUGAAAUUACACUUCCUAAUAUUAGAAAUAAUGAGUCAUUAACAAACUUGACAUAUAAUGAGUAAUGCAAUUAAAGAGAAAUUUUAUUGUUGAAUGUGGUUAUACACUUAUUAUAUUUCCUAAUCUUAAGUUAUUGUGGAACUUCCAAUUAUUAUAUUAGAAUUUGACAUAUGUUAAGACUUUCUUUUUUGACUUUUGAAAUUAUGUUGUAUUCAUGAUUCCAAUUUGCUUGUUUUAGUAGUAUUGUCUCACUUAGAAUUGAUAGAUUUUUUGUCAAAUAUUUGAAUAAUGCUAUAACUUUAUUGUAUGAAUAUUAAUUGAUUUAAUCAAACAAGAAAUCCAUUAUAUUCUUACAAAACGUAUACUUUUAUUUUUGUGUAAGUAUCUAAAAUAAAUAUUAUUAAUUUGAAAAGUAUAUAAAUUAUUUUUAUUAUAUUAGUUAUAAAUAUAUGAUUAUUAAUUAAUACAUAUUCAUGAAAAAUAUACAUCAUAAAUACCAAAUAUAAUACAAUUUAUACUUAUUAAAAUUUAUUAGCAUAUGUUUAUUAUAUUAACUUUUAAGUUUUGAUAAUUACUUUAUACUUGUAAUUACAGUGACAAGCAAACAGAACAUCACUCUAUUAUUCUCAUUACCAACUUAAAUGUUUGAUUACAUUAAUAACAGAUUUCUUUAUUCUUACUCUUUAAAGCUAUUUUUGUCUGUUUAAUACGCCGACAAGCUCUGCAUCCAAUCUGGUUUAUAUCCUUAAUCACAUUAACAUAUCCUCGAAGAAUGCUUAAACUCCCUAGGAUUCAUAUUAAAUGAUCCAAAAUAAAUAACACAUAACUAAAUUUGAAAAUAAUUCGACUUUAAAGUCUUUAUUUUAUCUUUUUUGUCCUUAAAAAAAGUUUUUAUAGCCACGCAAAUAAUAUGAUACUACAAACUGUUAACCCUUAAACUUUAAAAAACACAAAUUUAAAAAGCCUUAAACAGAGAGAGUACGUACCGAAACUACGUACCGAAUCAAACUAGCUUAAACAACAAGAAACAGAGAGAGUAGUAUUUUCUGCAGAAAAUGUAGGGAAAUUUUAAGCAACUAGAAUUCAUAGAACAUUCAUAUCUCAGACCAAGAGGUCAACAUAAAGGGGAGACAAAUGCCAAAAUAUUGACUGAUGUUGUACGCAUAAACAUGAAAUUUAAAACGUCAUUCAUUCAGAAAAAACAGGAAAUUGCUCUACACUAUCAUCAUAAAAUUAUUAUUCAAUUUAAAUGUGUAACAGAAAAAUAUGUAUAAUCGUUUACUGAACCAUUCCAUCAUGAGGGGUCAAGUGGUUCACCCAAUAACAAUGCAAUUCUGAUUUCCCUGACGUUUACGAGAGACCAAUUCACAAAUAAGGCAAUUGAUCCCUGCUUUUAUCAUCAGGUUUUGUAACUUAUACUUUAAAAAAAUUACAAUUUAAUCCAUAAAGCUCAGAAGCCAAGCGUAACAAGUGAAUUUCAUUGAAGAUCCAAGCUGAUCCAAGCUUAAAUUAGAUCUUCUUACGUGUUAGCAACUCAUCAUCGCCAAAUAAACGGAGGAAAAUUAACACAAAUAAUUUGGCUACUAUUUAUUUGAAGGAAUGCUUAGCAAAAAGCAGAACAUCCUCCAAUCGUGAUAAGCAGCUUUUUAUAGGCACCGUGCAAAAGGUAGUUUUUUAUAGAAAUAAAUAAACCCCCGUUGUCUGAGAAAUGCCUGCCUCCCCUCCAACAAUCAAAUUAUAUAGAAAUUCGCAAUAUAAAUUUAAUGUACCAAAAAAUAUUGUGUCAUGAGAAUACUAAUCACUCUCAUGGGUCUUCAAUUUGGAAAUUGGCUUAUUUAGGCUUCAUGCGGCAGACGGGUUACCAUUAACUGGUACAUGCUGCUGACUCUUUUGUGAAGCCAAUUUUUGACAUUACAAUCAAAAUCAUACAGUAAUAUCACAAAUAUAAUUCAUUUUGCAUCUAUUUUUACCUAAAGAUGGUUGAAAAAAUCAACUGUACGAGCUGAUUUUCUUGAAUUCGACUCUUCUAGUCACCUAAUAUUAUUCAAAAAAAUAUAUAAUUAGGGGAAAUACAGAAAAACUAAAUAAAGAACAAGAGGAAAACUAGUUACUAACAACAAUCAAAAUCUGAAGACGAGCAAACUUAGCAGAUAGGUCGCUCAGGCGGGGCAAAGGAGAAGAAACGGCUGCAGCCAAGUGAAGUGGGGUGGCAUUGGUGGAUUGGUGUUUAUUUCAGGUAGGCUUACUACUGCAUAUAUAGCGUUUACAGAGAAAACCCUAAUACGGAGAAGAUUUUAUAAUUGCAAUGAAGGACAAAACUUUUGCAAGUCUUACACAUCGAUGUAGCUGUUAAUGUUAUGUGUGUAGUUCCGUG
This 5057-nucleotide long non-coding RNA is filed under the name Nicotiana benthamiana. Its description in RNAcentral is "long non-coding RNA (NBEN_LNC039176)". The record is from RNAcentral. Lineage: Eukaryota; Viridiplantae; Streptophyta; Magnoliopsida; Solanales; Solanaceae.